Molecule: long non-coding RNA, 2136 nt
Organism: Hevea brasiliensis (rubber tree)
Lineage: Eukaryota; Viridiplantae; Streptophyta; Magnoliopsida; Malpighiales; Euphorbiaceae
Exons: 3
Source: RefSeq, a predicted model, not a curated record
ACGCACUGCUAAAAGAACACCAAAAGGUGAAAUCAGCAGAAAAGAAAAAAAAAAUGAAGAAGAAGAAGAGCUGCUUGAAGUCACUCCCCAAUUAAUCGAUCAAGUCCUUCACAGUUGACACCUUCAAGAAUUUCCCACUCCAAGAAAUUUUCACAACUUAGAUUUAGGCUUUGCCCUCGCCACUUGAAGGAACGAGAAUUUUGGAGGAUUUAUUGUACACAUGUCAAGAGCCGCGUGACUGAGUAAGUUUUAUAAGUUUUCAGUGGUUUAGUCCUAAUAUUUUGAAAUUUAUUGCAACAGAAGCUCUAUUUUCACUGUUAUCUUAUGAGUUGGAAACUAUGCUCGAAGACUUGACCUUGUGAGAAGAGGAAGCAUUUAAUUGCAUUUUUCAAUUUUUUGUGCUGUUCUUACAAAUUGGUUCUCUAUUGCUGAUGCAUGGAAAAAGUGUUUUUGUAGGUACUUUGUCUUCUAGUGUUUCUGCAGGUCAACAUGUUCCAAAGUGGUUCUCUUCCUCAAAUGAAAGAUGUUAUUGAAACCGUGCUAGAUGAUUUGUUACUUACUCUCAAAUUGGUUUCUGCAAAUUUCUUGUCAAAUGCCAUGGUCAUUCCGACUCUGAUGCCACUUGGAUUAUUGAAGAGAAAUUUCAAGCUUUGGAUCCUUCUCUCUUUGAUUCUUAUUUGCGGUUCAACUCUCUAAAGUCAAGUUAUUUUCAACUAAAGGAGAAUAAUGCAUGAUCUUCUAGAGAUUUGAUGACUAAAUAUUUUAGGAAAAGAUAUAACAAGUAAUACUUUAUUUAUUUAGGGAGUUAUAUUGGUUUAGGAUUCCCAACUGACAUUUGCUUCAUAUUUUCUAUUUAGGAUUUCAAAUCCUAAUAUAGGAUUACAAAUAAUCUAUAAAUAUUGUCUUCUAGGUAUUUUGGAUAGAUCUUUUUGUAUGAUUGACAAUUGAUUUGAGAAUAAAUAAAAUUGAGAGUUGGUUUCUCUUUCCCUUUGUUCUUUUGGUUCCACAUCAAUUAGUUUGCGAAACAUGGUUUUAAAUAACAGCUGUUACGUAAUGCGACUAACAUGACGGCCGUUAUUUAUAGGUAAAUAAGAGAAUCAUUACCCUUUACCUGUUAGUUAAAGGCAGAUUUUGAAAUGCCUGAGUGUCACCACCAUUACUUAAUGGUAACAGUUGUUAUUUACUGUUGCGUAACGAUAACGGCUGUGACUUAAUAAUUCAGCUUUAUACAAAUCACAUGGCAGCAGUGUUUUCUAAGCUUUCUUUAAUUCACUAUGUGUUCCAGCCUUCCAAGCUACUAUUUCUAUACAUUUUCUCUCAAAAUUUCACCAAACUUCUCCUCCUUUCUAUAAAUCUUUCCCUUAUUCUUUUUUAAGCUAAGAUCAUCAUAAAUAUUUCUAUUCUUCAUAAAUACUUUUUGCAAAAUAUGAGUAUUAUUUGCUGUUUUUAGCGUAUUUGAUGUAUUUAUCGUUAUUAUAUAAUUGUGUAUCUUAGUUUUACUUUUUUUUUAUUAGCAAAUUUUAUUAAUAAAAUUCCAAGAAAAACUUAACCUAUAGCACCAUAACUAAACCAAGCCAUGAGGAUCCCCGAUAGACCCAAACUAGAUGCCACAUGUUAUGUGAAGAAACCUAGACUAAAGUACAAAAAUAUCUCAUGAACUUAGCAAAGUUUUCAAAAAAAAAAAAUUGCAUAACGCUGGGCCGCUGGGCCGUUACUAUUACAUUAUGGCCAUUAUAGGCCUGUUUCUAUUACACGUGACAAUGACCACAAUUGUGGCCACACCCGCGACUUAAAACCAUGUUGCAAACAGUUAAUCUUUUGAUCUUUGGCCCUAAUCAAAAUCUUUUGUUUUAGAUAAAUAAUUUAGAAAAUCUUAUCUGAGAUAUUAUUUGUAAAUAAAAUAAUUCAGAAGACAUGUCUGACUGCCUCUUCUCCUAGUAUUGUCUACUAAUGCAAGCCAUAGCCGAAGUGUUGGUCCUAAUUUUGUUUUCAGGCUUGGUCAAAUAUACCAACUCAGGAUUCGUUUUGUUGCUUUUGUUCUUUUCAAAAUUGUUAGAUCUGCAUAUUUUUUCCUACAUACAUUUAUCAGCUUCAGCUUAAUUAUAAAUAUAGUCAAGUGCUUUUUUUAAACCUUUU